GGAAGUAAAAGUCGUAACAAGGUUUCCGUAGGUGAACCUGCGGAAGGAUCAUUAUCGAGUUUUGAACCGGGGUUGUAGCUGGCCUUCCGAGGCAUGUGCACGCCCUGCUCAAUCCACUCUACACCUGUGCACUUAUUGUGGGUUUCGGGGGCUUCGGCCCCCCAAGCCUAUGUUUAUUUACAAACGCUUCAGUAAAAGAAUGUGUAUUGCGACAACGCAUCUAUAUACAACUUUCAGCAACGGAUCUCUUGGCUCUCGCAUCGAUGAAGAACGCAGCGAAAUGCGAUAAGUAAUGUGAAUUGCAGAAUUCAGUGAAUCAUCGAAUCUUUGAACGCACCUUGCGCUCCUUGGUAUUCCGAGGAGCACGCCUGUUUGAGUGUCAUGAAAUCAUCAACUUUUAGGCCUUUUAUGGGCUCUAUAAGCUUGGACUUGGAGGCUUGUCGGCGGUCAACGUUGGCUCCUCUUAAAUGUAUUAGCUUGGUUCCUUGCGGAUUGGCUCUCGGUGUGAUAAUGUCUAUGCCGCGACCGUGAAGCGUUUGGCAAGCUUCGAACCGUCUCGUGAGAGACAUCUUCAUUGACUCUGACCUCAAAUCAGGCGGGACUACCCGCUGAACUUAAGCA
Molecule: ribosomal RNA, 621 nt
Filed under: Neofavolus sp. 'ADD5'
Lineage: Eukaryota; Fungi; Basidiomycota; Agaricomycetes; Polyporales; Polyporaceae
Description: eukaryotic LSU rRNA
Rfam family: 5.8S ribosomal RNA (bases 229-382)
Source: RNAcentral